AAAGCCGGUACAAGCGUAUAGCAGUCAUGCAGGCAAAACCGCAUGAAAAAUGUAAAGCGUUAUGUGGAUCGAACAUUAGUAGAGAAGCGUGUGAGCCAGCUGCCAAGAAAAGCCGCUAUUGUUUCAUAAGUACCCGUACCGUAAACCGACACAGGUGGAUGAGGAGAGAAUCCUAAGGCCGGCGGGAGAAGUGUUGUUAAGGAACUCGGCAAAAUGACUCCGUAACUUCGGGAGAAGGAGUGCCACAGAGAUGUGGCCGCAGAGAAAUGGCCCAAGCAACUGUUUAGCAAAAACACAGGUCUAUGCAAAACCGAAAGGUGAGGUAUAUGGGCUGACGCCUGCCCGGUGCUGGAAGGUUAAGAGGAGAGGUUAGAGCAAUCGAAGCUUUGAAUUUAAGCCCCAGUAAACGGCGGCCGUAACUAUAACGGUCCUAAGGUAGCGAAAUUCCUUGUCGGGUAAGUUCCGACCCGCACGAAAGGCGUAAUGAUUUGGGCACUGUCUCAACAACACACCCGGUGAAAUUGAAAUACCAGUGAAGAUGCUGGUUACCUGCGCCAGGACGGAAAGACUCCAUGGAGCUUUACUCCAGUUUGAUACUGGGAUUCGGUACUGUCUGUACAGGAUAGGUGGGAGGCUAGGAAAUGGUGACGCCAGUUGCCAUGGAGCCAACCUUGGGAUACCACCCUUACAGUACUGGGUUUCUAACCUGCAGCCGUAACCCGGCUGGGGGACAAUGUCUGACGGGGAGUUUGACUGGGGCGGUCGCCUCCGAAAGAGUAUCGGAGGCGCUCAAAGGUUCCCUCAGAACGGUUGGAAACCGUUCGAAGAGUGCAAAGGCAGAAGGGAGCUUGACUGCGACACCGACGGGUGGAGCAGAUACGAAAGUAGGACUUAGUGAUCCGGUGGUAUAAAGUGGGAUUGCCAUCGCUCAACGGAUAAAAGCUACCCUGGAAUAACAGGCUUAUCACUCCCAAGAGUUCACAUCGACGGAGUGGUUUGGCACCUCGAUGUCGGCUCAUCGCAUCCUGGAGCUGUAGCAGGUUCCAAGGGUUGGGCUGUUCGCCCAUUAAAGCGGUACGCGAGCUGGGUUCAGAACGUCGUGAGACAGUUCGGUCCCUAUCCGGCGUGGGCGUAGGAUAUUUGAGAGGAGCUGUCCUUAGUACGAGAGGACCGGGAUGGACAAACCUCUGGUGUAUCUGUUGUUUUACCAAAGGCAUGGCAGAGUAGCCAAGUUUGGCAGGGAUAAACGCUGAAGGCAUCUAAGCGUGAAGCCCCCCUCAAGAUAAGAUAUCCCAUCUUCGGAGUAAGACCCCUUGAAGACUACAAGGUUGAUAGGCUUCAGGUGUAAGUGUGGUAACGCACUCAGCUGAGAAGUACUAAUAGGUCGAGGACUUAUC
RNAcentral lists this ribosomal RNA (1397 nucleotides) under metagenome. RNAcentral describes it as "bacterial LSU rRNA". It matches the Rfam family "Bacterial large subunit ribosomal RNA", at positions 1503 to 2925 of the family's 2925-position model. The record is from RNAcentral.